Long non-coding RNA from Etheostoma spectabile (orangethroat darter), 113 nucleotides. RefSeq lists it as uncharacterized. Lineage: Eukaryota; Metazoa; Chordata; Actinopteri; Perciformes; Percidae. The transcript has 3 exons. The record is from RefSeq and is a predicted model, not a curated record.
GUGUUGUCCUUUCCUGACUGCUUCAUUUCUGAACGUGAUCAGAAAACCAGUGGAGACUCAUUACCUCCAGGGCCGACAUUAUAAAAUGAAUAACGUUAGGGUGAAAAUCCCAU